UCAGGGCUCGGGGGCCGCGGGGCUGCGCUCCCGGGCGCGCCGGGCUCGCUCCGUGCCACGGCCGCUCCGCGCCCCGCCUCCUCCGCCAGCUCCUCCCUCUGCGGGCGGCGGCGGCCGGCUCGCCCCGGGUCCGCGGUGCCCCCAGCAGACCGACCCCCGCGCGGGAGGCUGGAGAGAAACAACGAGAGCCAGAAGAUGGGCGCACGGGGGACGCCGGGCAGAAGUGCCAGUGCGCCCAACUUGCUCUCCACAUCCUGACAGACCACUGUCACACCAGAAUUACAGCAUAUACCACAAUCAAGUUCUUCGGUCUGCUUUUUAACCACUGUUAGACUUCAAUCAAAAUCUUGAACUCAGAAAUAAAUAAAGGUUCCAACCUGAGCUCAUAUAUAAUCUAAACACAUUGAUAGGACCUGGUGUCACCCUGAAGAUCAUCCCCGACAUGGCUACAAGCCCCAUGGAGUCCACACACAGGUUACAUGUGAAUUAGAAAACUAGAAACCUAUUGAAAGUCAUUCCUCAAGUGUUUCUUACCCAUGCUACAGUCAACCAGACCUAAGGACAAAAGAAAAAUACGUUACUGAUUUCAGAGUGCACUAGGUAAUUUGGGGUUUUUGUUUGGUUUGGGCUUGUUUGUUUGUUUGUUUGUUGAGAGAAGGUUUCACUGUGUAGCCCUAGAUAGACAGGAACUCACUGAGAUCUGCCUGCCUCUGCCUCUCAAGUGCUGGAAUUAAAGGCCUUUGGCACUAUGCCUGGCUCCUUGAUUUGUCUUUAAUCCUAAACUAACUUUAACGAUCCAGAAAGGCCCCUGCAAUGUUAAAGAGAUACUGAAUUAAUUAAUCUUGUUUGAAGUGUUAAAUUGUAUGGAAAGCAUUGUAGUACUAAACCUUUUGGGGUCGAGGGUGGGAUAUAGCCAAAGCUGGCCCCAAACUUGUCCUUAUCCCGCCUCAGCCUCCAGUGUACUAGGACCAUAGGCAUACACCACCCCGGUACCAAAUUUUAAACCAUACUUUCACAUAAUGUCAAAAUACAAAUAUUAUAAACGUGUGUAAGAUUCCUGGAAAUUGGACUUGUUUUGGCACAAUCCUAUCAGUUGUCUAAGUCCGGCUGUGUUGAAAUCUUGUAAGCCACAAAAAGAAACCCAAUCCUUGCCGACUUUGUCACCAGCUUUCAGCCAUAGCUAUUUGGAGUCUUGCCAAGUGUACAGUUAUUAUUGUCAUUCUUCUCUAAAAGUAUGUGCAAUUAGCUGCAGCCCAAAAUCAUUUAUCCUUCAAAAACACUGUUGGACUCAGACAAGUACUAUGGAAUCUAGGUUCCCAGUAACUUCAAGAUCAUACCACUAGCUUGGAGGAGAAUUUUCAAAACUGUAAUGAAGAAAUGAACCAGCAAUGGUGGCCUGAGCCUGAAGUCCUGACAGUUCGGAGGUUGAGUCCAGAGAACUGCUUGAACCCAGGAGUUCAGGGCCAGCCUGGGCAAUAACACUGAGAAGAGGUGGGGGCAGGAGGAGGAGAGAAAGAACACGAAAAGGCAAAUGAGAGAGAAGGGAGGGAAGGGGAGAGAACAGAGAAGAAAAAGAGGAGAGAAAAACAGACUAAAGAAGAAGAGGAGAAGAAAAAAAUACCUGCUGGUUUGUUCCAAACACUAACCACGUCCAAGCAAAACAAGAAGUAGGGACAUGGGUCUGGACCUGAAAUUCUAGCGCUCUGAAGCGGAGGCAAGAGGGUCACUGUGAGUGCAAGAUGAGCCUGGACUACACAGUGAGUUCCAGGCCUUCUGGGAUGUAGAAUAAGACCCUGUCUCAAAAUAAUAAACAAACAGAAAAAGAAAUCAUGACACGAAA
Molecule: long non-coding RNA, 1840 nt
Organism: Chionomys nivalis (European snow vole)
Lineage: Eukaryota; Metazoa; Chordata; Mammalia; Rodentia; Cricetidae
Exons: 4
Source: RefSeq, a predicted model, not a curated record